UCCCUGCUGGCUCAGAGGUUAAAGCGUCUGCCUGCAAUGCGGCAGACCCAGGUUCGAUUCCUUGGUGGGGAA
RNAcentral lists this transfer RNA (72 nucleotides) under Bos taurus (domestic cattle). It matches the Rfam family "tRNA". Rfam says of the family: Transfer RNA (tRNA) molecules are approximately 80 nucleotides in length. Their secondary structure includes four short double-helical elements and three loops (D, anti-codon, and T loops). Further hydrogen bonds mediate the characteristic L-shaped molecular structure. tRNAs have two regions of fundamental functional importance: the anti-codon, which is responsible for specific mRNA codon recognition, and the 3' end, to which the tRNAs corresponding amino acid is attached (by aminoacyl-tRNA synthetases). tRNAs cope with the degeneracy of the genetic code in two manners: having more than one tRNA (with a specific anti-codon) for a particular amino acid; and 'wobble' base-pairing, i.e. permitting non-standard base-pairing at the 3rd anti-codon position. The record is from Rfam by way of RNAcentral. RNAcentral also lists the same sequence under 1 other name. Lineage: Eukaryota; Metazoa; Chordata; Mammalia; Artiodactyla; Bovidae.